Phascolarctos cinereus (koala) is the source of this 846-nucleotide long non-coding RNA. Lineage: Eukaryota; Metazoa; Chordata; Mammalia; Diprotodontia; Phascolarctidae. The record is from Ensembl.
UUUGGUUGUUUCUUCCCCCACCCCCACCUCCACCUCCAGUCCUGCCUACACGGGAAGGAUUAAGGAUCAGCCUUUGGAGGUUACCUUCAGAGAAGCAGUUUUGGAGGCCAACUGGAAAUGCAUAUGAUCCCCUUGGGCUUAUGAGAGCCUCUGGUGCCUUCAUCCUACUCUGGGACUCCUUCCCCCACCCUUCUCUGGCCCAGCAAAGAGGCAUUCCAUUGACACACACGCCUUCUGCUCUGGGCUCACUUGGGAGAGAAGGUCACAUGGGGUUUGGGGCUGGUGAACAAGUUUGGGCAGGGCAGCUGUAAGGGAGGAACAGCAGUGUCACAGAACCCAGAAUUUAAAGGGGAGUUUUCCAGACAAAGCCACCUGGUUUACUGCCAAUGAGUCACAGAAGGUUCAAAGAUGAGAAUUUCCUGAUUGGCUAUCAGAGUCAGGUUUACACCCUGCUUCAUCUUGAGCACUUAUCACACUUAUCGUUUUUCACCAGCUGCAAAGAGAUAGACAAUGGGAGGUGCUAUUUUUCCUAUACCUGGUGUGUUCCCUCCUCCACAGAGACGGGUUUGGUUGCUGCCAAAGGCAACAGGUAAGCAAACCAAAGGAUAAUUUUAUGCCACCAGAGAUUGGAUGCUGCUUAACAACUACGUGCCCCACCUUUUUUUCCUGAUUUGAAGACUGAGGCUAUGGAUGGAGGAAGGAGGAAGUGGAAUGGGCCCAACUGAGGAGCACGAUAACUAUCUGAAGGUGCACAUAUGCCCAGCCUUUCAUCAGGUGAUCUUUAGGUCCUAGUAGGCCUUUAAUUAGCUUUCCACCAGAAGCACAUUUAUGUCCACUUUACAGAUG